CCUACAAGUCCAUGAGAGCCACUUGUGGGUGAUGAGGGACGGCAAGACAACAGUAGAGACAGCUUUGAUUUACCAGCACUUGACUUAAACCUCAGCCUUUGGUGGGAACUUGGUGUAAGGCUGCCGGCAGGACAAGCCAGGCUGCACGUGGUAGACGUCCUGACACAGCAGAGACUGGACCCGGGUUCCUGGAGAGGCAAUGGAUACUUGACACCUUCAUCCCCAGUACUUGGAUGUCCCUGAAGUGUGGUGGCCAAAUUUGAUUUUUGGCUCCAGAAAGGGACCGAUUCCACCCUUUGGCCUCUCUCUCCUUAGCCAGAAACUUGUGAAGGGAAAUAUAAGAAACACUCUCCUAGCAGGCCCAUCUCCUCCUCAGACACUACAGGAUGGACGCUUCAUUAAUGCAGCCAAACCUGCUCAUGUGACUGGAGCUGUGUGAUGGAGCAGAGAGUCUGGCUGUAUCAAGUGUUGAAGAACUGGGGUGAGAAACAAAGUAACAAAGACCCUUAGAGAUGGGGAGGACUUUCCGUGGUACUUGGGUGGCAAAGGGAAUGUCCUCAGCCUGGUGCUGGCAUUAGCAACUCACCGUCCAAAGAAGCAAGAUGGAGACUCCAAGUGAUACAUAUGGCCCUUUAGGAAUCCUGUGCCCAGACUUGACCUGGAUUCCUACAAAGCUGGGGAGCAGACCUCUAAUUCUCUUACCUAAAAGUUCAAAAGGCAGAGACCCAUCACCCUUCAGCUAUCCUGUCCCCAAAGGGAUGACCCGCAAAAUUUAAAGGACCAAAAUGUAGAAUACUGGGAGAAAAAAAAAUACUGGGGAGAGAGAAAAGGCAGGUCUUAGACAAUUACAGAGACAGCCUUGCUAGAGUCCUAAGUGCCAGGCAGGGGAGCACCAAGGAGACUGGGAGGAGCCUGUUUGUCUACUGACAGAAAUGUUGAUAAAGGGGAUAUCCCUAUGAUAUGGAGUAGAUACUCCCCUAAGUAUAAGCUGAUUUGUUCCCUUCUAAGACGGUAGCAGAAACUAGAGAGAAAUCCUUUGUAAAACUAGGAACAGAUUCCCUCAGACACAGAUCUGAACCUCUGUCAUCGGAAGAGUGCUGGAGGGCAGGUGGUCAGUGUAGUCAUGGCUGACUGUAGACUAUGGAAGACUAAGAUGUAGCUUAUGUAAUAGGAUGCUCACCUGUUCUGGAGACAGUGGGGCUAUGCUCGACUCCAGUACUGAAUGGACCAUGUAGAUAGGUUCCUGGGCUUCCUUGUAGAAAGGGGGGCAGAGCAGAAACCUUGUGGGGAGACCUGUUCUCUUGGUCAACCCUCUCAGUUCCAGCUACACCACAGGACGACCUAACUGGCUCAGGAAAAGGUCCACCAGAAUUAAGUCUGGAAGGCACAAUGGAGUCAACUUUGUACCAGACCUAGAGCCCUCAGAAGUGCCCUUGGGGAAGAGCCCAGCACCCGUAGGCAAAGGAGUGCAAACAUAGGAGAGGGGUGGAGCUGAUCUGCACUUAAGGUGAGACUUAGAACUGAUGUUGAAUGCAGACAGUAACUCGUAAAGUACUGGGUGUGAAUCGUGAAUCGGGGUGAGGAUUUGAAACCAUCCUGACUACCCCACCCUAGUCUGAAGUGGGUGGCUCCCAGAAGUCUUAGCCCCCACAAAGGAAGCCACGCUCACCUCACUUGUCCCCAUGGAGUGAAGGGAAGUCCCAUUUUGAGUGUUGUGUGUCAGUAACAGUGUUGUGUCACCUGUGGUCAUGUUGAAUAGUUGGAGAAUAAAGGGAAUACGAUUUCCUAGGUGUU
RNAcentral lists this long non-coding RNA (1794 nucleotides) under Rattus norvegicus (Norway rat). RNAcentral's name for it is "long non-coding RNA NONRATT003218". The record is from RNAcentral. Lineage: Eukaryota; Metazoa; Chordata; Mammalia; Rodentia; Muridae.